Teleopsis dalmanni is the source of this 320-nucleotide long non-coding RNA. RefSeq lists it as uncharacterized. The record is from RefSeq and is a predicted model, not a curated record. Lineage: Eukaryota; Metazoa; Arthropoda; Insecta; Diptera; Diopsidae. The transcript is spliced from 3 exons.
CAAUUGUUUUAAAAUUAUUCAAAAAAUAUUGCUACUAUUGUGCAGUUGGACUAAAGAAGUUUAUCUUAGUACCACUUUAAAGAGUUAAAAAAUAUUAGAAAUUUUGUUCAAUUGGAAACAUAGGGCCAUCUGGUUACAGUUGUACCUAACGAAGAGAUCUUUUAAACGUGACUUUCGUAUAUCCAAAUCCGUUGUGUGUGCUGCAAAAGUAAGUAGAUUCGCCGUAUAAGUACAGUUAAAAAAGGGAGCAAAGCCCUGAUGAUGGGUUACAAGCGCAAUAUCAGUCCUGUAAGCUUUGCACGUAGUGAUAGGUCACUUUU